This 164-nucleotide ribosomal RNA is filed under the name uncultured bacterium. Its description in RNAcentral is "partial 16S rRNA". It matches the Rfam family "Bacterial small subunit ribosomal RNA", at positions 355 to 511 of the family's 1533-position model. The record is from RNAcentral.
UAGGGAAUCUUCCACAAUGGACGCAAGUCUGAUGGAGCAACGCCGCGUGAGUGAAGAAGGUUUUCGGAUCGUAAAGCUCUGUUGUCGGUGAAGAAGGAUAGAGGCAGUAACUGGUCUUUAUUUGACGGUAAUCAACCAGAAAGUCACGGCUAACUACGUGCCAG